RNAcentral lists this ribosomal RNA (301 nucleotides) under uncultured bacterium. RNAcentral describes it as "partial 16S ribosomal RNA". It matches the Rfam family "Bacterial small subunit ribosomal RNA", at positions 509 to 807 of the family's 1533-position model. The record is from RNAcentral.
CAGUAGCCGCGGUAAUACGAGGGGGGCAAGCGUUGUUCGGAAUUAUUGGGCGUAAAGGGUGCGUAGGCGGUCUGACAAGUCUGAUGUGAAAUCUAUGGGCUCAACCCAUAGUCUGCAUCGGAAACUGUCGGGCUUGAGUAUGGGAGAGGUGAGUGGAAUUUCCGGUGUAGCGGUGAAAUGCGUAGAUAUCGGAAGGAACACCUGUGGCGAAAGCGGCUCACUGGACCAUUACUGACGCUGAGGCACGAAAGCUAGGGGAGCAAACAGGAUUAGAUACACCGGUAGUCCCUGUCUCUUAUAC